AUCUCGAAUGUCAACAUUAUCAAGCUACAAAAACAAGAUCUAUGAAAAAAGAUUGAUAAGCGCGUAGGUGCAUGUUACAAUACCAAAAGGUCCCAUCUACUCAUUCAAUUUCCUCUUUACCAAAAAGAGGAGAAGGGUAAUUAAACACCAAACAAAAAGCACAAAUAAUAAAAGCUGAAAAAGGAGUAGUAGGGUAAUUAACAACACCAAACCAAAAGCUGCUCACUCACAUUCACUCAUUCAUUCACUCAUUCAUUCACUCUUUACUUCUUUCUUUCCUCUCAUUCAACAACACAAUGAUAGAAGAACAGCAACGCCGUGGACCACCGCACGGCGUUCUCUUAGCAGUGGUGGUAGUAGCAGUCAUGUUAGUACCAACACUGCUAGGAGAAAAUGGUGAAGCCAUUACUGAUUUCAUCUCCGAUCUUCUUACUCCGGUUGGUUUUCUCCUCCUGCCCAUUAUUCUUCUCCUUACUAUACAGUUUCUUUCCUCUGACAGUGGUUCAUUCAUCUCUAGCAUUUUCUCUACCGGUGAACCUAACUCUAUCCACCGUGUUAGUGGGUCCCCCGUCGGCGUUGCGUUGUUUCUUGCCCUCAUAUUGUUCCUUCUCUACAACCGUGUUUCCAUCUUCGGCGGCGAUGAUGAUUCCGGCGACUGACGUUAACAGUAACGCCGUGUUUGGUUAGAUCUAUAUUGUUCGUCAUAUCUUUCGUUGUGGUUGUACCUUUUUCUUUUGGUUUUUUUGAUUUUUUUUUUUUUUGACGUUUACUUUUAAAAUGUUUUUUACGUAAAUAGUGAAGGGUAAACUAUAGUACGGACGUAGUAAAUAUUGUCGACAAGCCCAUGGCAUGUACGGAAAAGUAUGAAACUCCAUGUAAUUUUCCUGAAAUGCCACUAGUGAUAUUGAUUGUAUUGUACGAGUAAGUUUCUAUUGGAUUGAUCUAGCAUUCAACAGCUGCUCUCACCUCAAAUUUUUGCUAUGUUACAAUUUCGAACUAGUUAUAGUUAAUUAUACGA
Molecule: long non-coding RNA, 1018 nt
Filed under: Nicotiana tabacum (common tobacco)
Lineage: Eukaryota; Viridiplantae; Streptophyta; Magnoliopsida; Solanales; Solanaceae
Description: long non-coding RNA (NTAB_LNC005509)
Source: RNAcentral